UACGGAGGGUGCAAGCGUUGUUCGGAUUUACUGGGCGUAAAGCGCGCGCAGGUGGGUGUACAAGUCGGAAGUGAAAUCUCGAGGCUCAACCUUGAGGCUGCUCCCGAAACUGUACGCCUAGGGACUGGUAGAGGCGUGGUAGAAUUCCCGGUGUAGCGGUGGAAUGCGUAGAGAUCGGGAAGAAUACCUGUGGCGAAGGCGGCCAGCUGGGCCAGAUCCGACACUGAGGCGCGAAAGCGUGGGGAGCAAACAGG
Molecule: ribosomal RNA, 254 nt
Filed under: uncultured bacterium
Lineage: Bacteria
Description: partial 16S ribosomal RNA
Rfam family: Bacterial small subunit ribosomal RNA
Source: RNAcentral